UACGUAGGUGGCAAGCGUUGUCCGGAUUUACUGGGCGUAAAGAGCGCGCAGGCGGUCGUGCAAGUCGCGUGUGAAAGCCCCCGGCUCAACUGGGGAGGGUCACGCGAUACUGUUCGACUCGAAGGCAGGAGAGGGAAGCGGAAUUCCCGGUGUAGUGGUGAAAUGCGUAGAUAUCGGGAGGAACACCAGUGGCGAAGGCGACUACCUGGCCUGUUCUUGACGCUGAGGCGCGAAAGCUAGGGGAGCAAACGGG
Molecule: ribosomal RNA, 253 nt
Filed under: uncultured bacterium
Lineage: Bacteria
Description: partial 16S ribosomal RNA
Rfam family: Bacterial small subunit ribosomal RNA
Source: RNAcentral